AUUGAACGCUGGCGGCAGGCCUAACACAUGCAAGUCGAGCGCGAAAGUCUUCGGAUGAGUAAAGCGGCGAACGGGUGAGUAACGCGUGGGAAUCUGCCCAGUAGUGGGGGACAACAGCCGGAAACGGCUGCUAAUACCGCAUACGCCCUACGGGGGAAAGGGGGGAUCUUCGGACCUCUCGCUAUUGGAUGAGCCCGCGU
This 200-nucleotide ribosomal RNA is filed under the name uncultured bacterium. RNAcentral describes it as "partial 16S ribosomal RNA". It matches the Rfam family "Bacterial small subunit ribosomal RNA", at positions 30 to 236 of the family's 1533-position model. The record is from RNAcentral.